Molecule: long non-coding RNA, 403 nt
Organism: Pogonomyrmex barbatus (red harvester ant)
Lineage: Eukaryota; Metazoa; Arthropoda; Insecta; Hymenoptera; Formicidae
Source: RefSeq, a predicted model, not a curated record
UUAUGUUUUGUAUUUAUAAUUGUCAACAAUUACAUUCAGAUACUUUUGAAAGAGGAAAAUUACGGAUGACUGAAAAUAUAUCUGACGUAAAUACUGAAAAUGAAGAAAAUAUGAAAUAAACACGGCAUGACAGAGCUGCUGCAAAAAAUUUUACGUCUGACGAUGAAUCUUUCGGUACAGAAGUAGAUUCUGACUUACUACUUCCUUUUUCAGAUUCGAAGGAAUUUUCUGCAUCACAAAAAUUGAUUAAUUUAGAAAAGCUUGCACGGAUAUAUAACAUUUAAAAAUAAAUAAACCAAAAAAUCAAACUGAUCAAGAUCUUCAAGAUUCUCAAAAAUAAUACAAUAUGAUGAAGAUAUUAAUAAUUAAAAAAUCUGCAUACAUCAUCAUGAAUAUCACAAAA